This 209-nucleotide non-coding RNA is filed under the name Ligilactobacillus apodemi. RNAcentral describes it as "Lactobacillus apodemi T-box sequence". It matches the Rfam family "T-box leader". From Rfam's summary of the family: Uncharged tRNA acts as the effector for transcription antitermination of genes in the T-box leader family. T-boxes are found upstream of many aminoacyl-tRNA synthetase genes and some amino acid biosynthetic genes usually in Gram-positive bacteria. Lineage: Bacteria; Bacillati; Bacillota; Bacilli; Lactobacillales; Lactobacillaceae. The record is from RNAcentral.
UUAUAAGCUUUGAACAAGAGGAUUUGACCAGGGACUGUUUUUAGAGAGAAGCGGGUCGGUGCAACGCUUUAGCAGUUGGUCAAAGAGUAGCUUGGGAGCUGUCCUACUGAAAUUUUUAGUAAGUAAGACCGGAUAUCUAUUCGUUAACGCAGAUCAAAGAGGGGAUAAAAGCCCAAUUUAGGUGGUACCACGGCACUGUCGUCCUAAGC